Molecule: ribosomal RNA, 467 nt
Filed under: uncultured bacterium
Lineage: Bacteria
Description: partial 16S ribosomal RNA
Rfam family: Bacterial small subunit ribosomal RNA
Source: RNAcentral
GACGAACGCUGGCGGCGUGCUUAACACAUGCAAGUCGAACGGAAAGGCCCCAGCUUGCUGGAGUACUCGAGUGGCGAACGGGUGAGUAACACGUGGGUAAUCUGCCCUGCACUCUGGGAUAAGCCUGGGAAACUGGGUCUAAUACUGGAUAUGACCUUUCUCCUUAUGGGGUUUGGUGGAAAGUUUUUCGGUGUAGGAUGAGCCCGCGGCCUAUCAGCUUGUUGGUGGGGUGAUGGACUACCAAGGCGACGACGGGUAGCCGGCCUGAGAGGGUGAUCGGCCACAUUGGGACUGAGAUACGGCCCAGACUCCUACGGUAGGCAGCAGUGGGGAAUAUUGCACAAUGGGCGGAAGCUUGAUGCAGCGACGCCGCGUGAGGGAUGACGUCCUUCGGGUUGUAAACCUCUUUCAGCAGGGACGAAGCGUAAGUGACGGUACCUGCAGAAGAAGCACCGGCUAAUUAUGUG